CGUGUAGGUGGUGGAUCAAGUCGAAUGUGAAAUCCCUUGGCUUAACCAAGGAAUUGCGUUCGAUACUAGUCUGCUUGAGUGUUGGAGAGGAAAGCGGAAUUCCCGGUGUAACAGUGAAAUGUGUAGAUAUCGGGAGGAACACCAGUGGCGAAGGCGGCUUUCUGGACAACUACUGACACUGAAACGCGAGAGCAUGGGGAGCAAACAGGAUUAGAUACCCUGGUAGUCC
This 229-nucleotide ribosomal RNA is filed under the name uncultured bacterium. RNAcentral's name for it is "partial 16S ribosomal RNA". It matches the Rfam family "Bacterial small subunit ribosomal RNA", at positions 568 to 796 of the family's 1533-position model. The record is from RNAcentral.